ACGGGGCCCGCACAAGCGGUGGAGCAUGUUGGUUUAAUUCGAAGCAACGCGAAGAACCUUUACCAGGUUCUUGACAUCCCGAUGCUAUUUCUAGAGAUAGAAGUUACUUCGGUACAUCGGUGACAGGUGGUGCAUGGUUGUCGUCAGCUCGUGUCGUGAGAUGUUGGGUUAAGUCCCGCAACGAGCGCAACCCCUAUUGUUAGUUGCCAUCAUUCAGUUGGGCACUCUAGCGAGACUGCCGGUAAUAAACCGGAGGAAGGUGGGGAUGACGUCAAAUCAUCAUGCCCCUUAUGACCUGGGCUACACACGUGCUACAAUGGUUGGUACAACGAGUUGCGAGUCGGUGACGGCGAGCUAAUCUCUUAAAGCCAAUCUCAGUUCGGAUUGUAGGCUGCAACUCGCCUACAUGAAGUCGGAAUCGCUAGUAAUCGUGUCUCAAAAUGGCACGGUGAAUAUGUCCCUGCUCCUU
RNAcentral lists this ribosomal RNA (469 nucleotides) under uncultured Streptococcus sp. RNAcentral's name for it is "bacterial SSU rRNA". It matches the Rfam family "Bacterial small subunit ribosomal RNA", at positions 916 to 1381 of the family's 1533-position model. Lineage: Bacteria; Bacillati; Bacillota; Bacilli; Lactobacillales; Streptococcaceae. The record is from RNAcentral.